Acanthochromis polyacanthus (spiny chromis) is the source of this 615-nucleotide long non-coding RNA. RefSeq lists it as uncharacterized. The record is from RefSeq and is a predicted model, not a curated record. The transcript is spliced from 3 exons. NCBI's taxonomy places the organism in Eukaryota, Metazoa, Chordata, Actinopteri, Pomacentridae.
CCUUCAUUUAUCUACGAUAGAACACAUUUAUCUAGAACCAAAGGAGGCUGGGUUCUAAUGUUCAUGUUCAUCUGCAGCCGGUUUACAGACCAAGUUCAGGAACUUAAACCAGACGUUCCAAAGGUUCCAAAGAAGAGCUAGAUAUCCGACAUUUAUCACAUUAAUAUUCAGGUUUUAGAUGUUUUAUUACAUUAAUAUUCAGGUUUUAGAUGUUUUAUUACAUUAAUAUUCAGGUUUUAGAUGUUUCAUCACAUUAAUAUUCAGGUUUUAGAUGUUUUAUUACAUUAAUAUUCAGGUUUUAGAUGUUUUAUUACAUUAAUAUUCAGGUUUUAGAUGUUUUUUACAGUAAUAUUUGGGUGUAUCUCCUCUAGAAAGCUAACAUUCACUCAUUCAUAUGUUGUUUCCUUCAUAACGAUCAAACUCAAGACACAAAGUAAUUCUGGAGUUUUUCUCCUCUGAUUGUUCAGAUGUGAAUAGAAGAAGAUUUAGCCUCUACACAUGAGGACGUAGCUGCAACGAUGUCAUGGUGAUGGUUAGAUACGAUUGGUUAGAAGCCCCAGUCUCCUGGUGUCUAAAGGUUCUGGUAGCUUCUCUCUAGAUGACCACUUCCUGUUG